The sequence is a transfer RNA, 84 nucleotides long. It matches the Rfam family "tRNA". From Rfam's summary of the family: Transfer RNA (tRNA) molecules are approximately 80 nucleotides in length. The record is from Rfam.
GCCCCUGUGGCGGAAUUGGCAGACGCGCAGCGUUCAGGUCGCUGUUCACCUUGGUGAGUACUGGUUCGAAUCCAGCCAGGGGCA